Molecule: long non-coding RNA, 658 nt
Organism: Patella vulgata (common limpet)
Lineage: Eukaryota; Metazoa; Mollusca; Gastropoda; Patellidae
Exons: 3
Source: RefSeq, a predicted model, not a curated record
UUAGAGAGUUUUAUCCAGUGUCGGUUCUGCAGAAGAACCCAUUCAUAGCAGACCACCCAUUGCAGCACUUGUAAGGUCGCUAUAAAGAACCCGACAGACUCUGCGACCAAAAGAUCCCACUGACGUGUCGUCAAGCCUUGACGAAGAUUUCAUCGAUCAUAGUGCAUCGGGAUUUUAUCAAAAAAGAGUAAAAGUUGGGGAAAGGCGCCAUCACAUUUUUUGUACUGAUAGACAGAUGCAACUACUCGCACGCGCAAAAACUUGGUAUAUGGAUGCAACUUUUCGGGUGGUGAACAAGCCAUGGUCUCAGCUGUUUUCCAUACACGCCUUCAUUAAGACUGGAGAGACCACCCGACAGUUACCAUUGGUGUUUUGUGUAAUGUCGGGUAAAAGCCAAGACGACUAUUAUAAGGUAGACAGACAGGGCCUCCUUUGAAGGGACUCAGUGAAGGGAACGCGGUUGGUUUAGAGUUUGUCUGACCCCUUUGAAUAUUUGCGUCUCAUCUCCAAUGAAAACAAUCAUGUUGCUCUCAUGCUGUUCUCAACCAGAAUCAAACAUAUAUCGUACCUGAGAUUUGUUAGCAUGUUCCACACAACCCAACAUUUAUCGGCACCGGGAUUAAGGGUGUAUAUCUUUGUUUCUAACGCUUAUUGGGAA